UGCCAGCAGCCGCGGUAAUACGGAGGGUGCAAGCGUUAUCCGGAUUUAUUGGGUUUAAAGGGUGCGUAGGCGGAAUAAUAAGUCAGUGGUGAAAUCCUGCGGCUCAACCGUAGAACUGCCAUUGAUACUGUUAUUCUUGAAUAUAGUUGAGGUAGGCGGAAUAUGUCAUGUAGCGGUGAAAUGCAUAGAUAUGACAUGGAACACCAAUUGCGAAGGCAGCUCACUAAACUAUUACUGACGCUCAUGAACGAAAGCAUGGGGAGCGAACAGGAUUAGAUA
Molecule: ribosomal RNA, 279 nt
Filed under: uncultured bacterium
Lineage: Bacteria
Description: partial 16S ribosomal RNA
Rfam family: Bacterial small subunit ribosomal RNA
Source: RNAcentral